AGUGAACGCUGGCGGUAGGCCUAACACAUGCCAGUCGAACGGCAGCACAGUAAGAGCUUGCUCUUACGGGUGGCGAGUGGCGGACGGGUGAGGAAUACAUCGGAAUCUACUUUUUCGUGGGGGAUAACGUAGGGAAACUUACGCUAAUACCGCAUACGACCUACGGGUGAAAGCAGGGGAUCUUCGGACCUUGCGCGAUUGAAUGAGCCGAUGUCGGAUUAGCUAGUUGGCGGGGUAAAGGCCCACCCAGGCGACGAUCCGUAGCUGGUCUGAGAGGAUGAUCAGCCACACUGGAACUGAGACACGGUCCAGACGCCUACGGGAGGCAGCAGUGGGGAAUAUUGGACAAUGGGCGCAAGCCUGAUCCAGCCAUACCGCGUGGGUGAAGAAGGCCUUCGGGUUGUAAAGCCCUUUUGUUGGGAAAGAAAAGCAGCAGGUUAAUACCCCGCUGUUCUGACGGUACCCAAAGAAUAAGCACCGGCUAACUUCGU
RNAcentral lists this ribosomal RNA (491 nucleotides) under uncultured bacterium. RNAcentral's name for it is "partial 16S ribosomal RNA". It matches the Rfam family "Bacterial small subunit ribosomal RNA", at positions 29 to 506 of the family's 1533-position model. The record is from RNAcentral.